GAAACAAGAGAGCAAGAUUACAGGGACAGGAAGUUUACCAGGGUGUGCCUUGUUUUGUUUUUGUUUGAGGUAGAGAAAAACUGAGAUGAUGGAUAUUGAUGAUCCACUUGAUUUUGAGAAAGAAGACCCAUUUCUUAUUAACCCUGUUGUUUCCAAGAAAAGGAAAAAGCUUAUUGGAUUAGAUGAUCUUUUGAGCGAACAUUACAAGGAGCAAAGCAAACUUAUUGAGAAGGAAGCCAAGAAACAGACAAAAGCUCAAAAAAGCUAUGAUUCUGAUGAGGAUAAAAAUGGCAAAGAAGCUAAGCUUUCAAGUCUUCUUGAUGAUUGCCAAGAACAGAUGAAAGCAAUGAGCGGUGAGGAAGAGUUGUCUGAGUGGGGCAUAUUCGUCUUUGGAGAGCAGAAGACUUCACCACUUUUAUCUUUUCCCGAGCUUGGAAGUUGGUCAAUUUUGAAGUCUUUCAUGAAUAAUAGGCUCAACUCUCUGGUGGGGCUUGCUACAGAACAAGAGUGCUCUUUCCUUGAAGGGUUAUUGAUAAAUGGGUGGCUCUUAAAAUUGAUCUUGAAAUGUGGUCGUGUAGAAAAAUCAAUAGCUGCAUGGACCUUUUCUUUGAUUCUGUAUUCAUCAAAAGAAGAGUUGAGGUCAUCUGCUUGUGAAUUCUGGUGUUCCAUUCUUUCAUCAAAAGUUCAGGUUGGUGUGCCACCCAUUGUAAUUGACUGGUUCCCCAGCUAUCGUGAACUAAAGAGUGCCCUUGAGAUAUACGGGUUUCGUUUCAAUUUUUCAUCCAACAUAUCUGUUAAAAACAAUUCUGUUUGUAAAGGGCCACCUCAAAACAUCAUAACCUGGAUCAAAUUUACAGCUGUAUGUUGUCAAGUAAGGUGUAAACAGUCUGUUUUUUUGGCAUCAGACUGUCAGGAGCUGGCAGAAGUCAUCAUUUGUCUAUUCUUAGACCGGCGAGUUCAAGGUCUCUCUGUUCUUAUGAGCAACUGUCUGCAAUCAGUUAUCAGUUCAUUUACAGAAGAAGAAUGGAUUAACUGUUAUUGUGAAAUAGCAAAAUCUCUUGCCUCAAGAGUUCCUAUGGACUUGAACUGCUUGCGAGCGGUGCAAUGCAUUUCAGGAGUCGAUCCUCGUUCCAAGCAUCUCAGAAGUGCUGUUGCCUUCCAAAUUCUGGUUAAUUGUUUUGAGAAUGAGGUUACUGAUGAAGAAGGAAUCCUGACUUCGCUUAUCUCAAUAAACGUGAAAGAAAAGGCCUGUGAUUUUUUCAAGAUGUACCUCUAUCUGGUUUUGACUGAAAAUUGGCUUCAAUAUGAUCCAAUGUUGAGAGAUAAGCCAGUGAUUCGUGAAAUGUGGGGUCUCUUUCUUCGAAACUGUUCUUGCCAAAUUACCAGCACAGACCUGAGGUUGCAUGCAUCAAAAGUUCGUAACAAAGCUGCAUUUCUUCUACAAGGCGCUGGCAACAAUUAAUCAAGUAUAAGUUCUAAUCCAUCCCCAAUAAAGAAUGUAGAGAUGUUAGAUACUGAAAGUAGCCAAAAGAAGUUAACCUGGCAUAAUUUGGGGUUUGUGGCAAGGCAGAUGGGCAAAGCUGCAAAAACAAAAGCAGGUGCAGUGUUUACAGAAUCAUGCAGAUUCAAAAGCAGGAGAUUUUGAACACGUUGACAUUUUCCAGAAUAUCCCAUUUCUACAUUCUGGGGUUAUUCAGGGAUCAAUCCCAUUCAGUGGAUCUAUGUAUAUAUAAGUUUAACAAUGACUGCAAGCCCUUCCUCUUUGUCACUUUGACUUGGGGGAUAUGGAGGAUGCUUGAGAUUAUGAGAUGUGUUAGGUAGUGCAAUAUAUAAGUAGGUAAAUGUUUUUAACCAAAUGUUCACUCCUUAAUUAUUGCUACUGUUAUUUUUUAUUCCAAGAUCUAGCACUUCCCUUCUCUUAAGGCAAGGGGGUAUGCAACUA
Molecule: RNA transcript, 1942 nt
Organism: Theobroma cacao (cacao)
Lineage: Eukaryota; Viridiplantae; Streptophyta; Magnoliopsida; Malvales; Malvaceae
Gene name: actin protein 2/3 complex subunit-like protein
Source: RefSeq, a predicted model, not a curated record